AUUGAACGCUGGCGGCGGGCUUAACACAUGCAAGUCGAGCGAGAACCAGGACUUCGGUCCCGGGGACAGCGGCGAACGGGUGAGUAACACGUGGAUAACCUGCCCUCGGCACCGGGAUAGCCCGGGGAAACCCGGAUUAAUACCGGAUGGCCCUUCCGGCUCACGAGCCGGUCGGAAAAGGUAGCUUCGGCCUCCGGCCGAGGAUGGGUCCGCGGCGGAUUAGCUUGUUGGUGGGGUAACGGCCUACCAAGGCUCCGAUCCGUAGCUGGUCUGAGAGAACGAUCAGCCACACUGGGACUGAGACACGGCCCAGACUCCUACAGGAGGCAGCAGUGGGGAAUCUUGCGCAAUGGGCGAAAGCCUGACGCAGCGACGCCGCGUGAGGGAGGAAGGCCUUCGGGUUGUAAACCUCUUUCAGGAGGGACGAAGCUACUCGGGUGAAUAGCCCAGAGGGUGACGGUACCUCCAGAAGAAGCCCCGGCUAACUACGUGCCAGCCGCCGCAGUAA
RNAcentral lists this ribosomal RNA (508 nucleotides) under uncultured bacterium. Its description in RNAcentral is "partial 16S ribosomal RNA". It matches the Rfam family "Bacterial small subunit ribosomal RNA", at positions 28 to 523 of the family's 1533-position model. The record is from RNAcentral.